RNAcentral lists this non-coding RNA (173 nucleotides) under Cupriavidus basilensis. RNAcentral describes it as "Burkholderia RNA 14". It matches the Rfam family "Burkholderia RNA 14". From Rfam's summary of the family: Co-purified with Hfq, expression confirmed by Northern blot. Putative functional homologue of PA-SraF. The record is from Rfam by way of RNAcentral. Lineage: Bacteria; Pseudomonadati; Pseudomonadota; Betaproteobacteria; Burkholderiales; Burkholderiaceae.
GUCGGCGUCGUCACCGUCAAGCCAGCCACCGUGCCCGUCACCUCCGAGCUGCCGGGCCGCACCAGCGCCUUCCUGGUCGCGCAGGUGCGCGCGCGGGUCGACGGCAUCGUGCUGCGCCGCGAGUUCACCGAGGGCGAUGAGGUCAAGCUGGGCCAGCGCCUCUACAAGAUCGA